AGAGUUUGAUCCUGGCUCAGAAUCAACGCUGGCGGCGUGCCUAACACAUGCAAGUCGAACGAGAAAGUGGUAGCAAUACCAUGAGUAAAGUGGCGCACGGGUGAGUAACACGUGACUAACCUACCCUGGAGUGGGGGAUAACUGAGGGAAACCUUAGCUAAUACCGCAUAACACCUACGGGUCAAAGGAGCAAUUCGCUUUGGGAGGGGGUCGCGGCCGAUUAGUUAGUUGGCGGGGUAAUGGCCCACCAAGACAGUGAUCGGUAUCCGGCCUGAGAGGGCGCACGGACACACUGGAACUGAAACACGGUCCAGACUCCUACGGGAGGCAGCAGUGGGGAAUUUUGCGCAAUGGGGGAAACCCUGACGCAGCAACGCCGCGUGGAGGAUGAAGUACUUCGGUACGUAAACUCCUUUCGAUCGGGACGAUUAUGACGGUACCGGAAGAAGAAGCCCCGGCUAACUUCGUGCCAGCAGCCGCGGUAAUACGAGGGGGGCGAGCGUUGUUCGGAAUUAUUGGGCGUAAAGGGUGCGUAGGCGGUUUGGUAAGUCUUUUGUGAAAUCUAUGGGCUCAACUCAUAGACUGCAAGGGAAACUGCCGGGCUUGAGUAUGGGAGAGGUGAGUGGAAUUCCUGGUGUAGCGGUGAAAUGCGUAGAUAUCAGGAGGAACACCUGUGGCGAAAGCGGCUCACUGGACCAUUACUGACGCUGAUGCACGAAAGCUAGGGGAGCAAACAGGAUUAGAUACCCUGGUAGUCCUAGCCCUAAACGAUGACUGCUUGGUGUGACGGGUACCCAAUCCCCGUUGUGCCGUAGCUAACGCGUUAAG
Molecule: ribosomal RNA, 828 nt
Filed under: uncultured bacterium
Lineage: Bacteria
Description: bacterial SSU rRNA
Rfam family: Bacterial small subunit ribosomal RNA
Source: RNAcentral